GACGAACGCUGGCGGCGUGCUUAACACAUGCAAGUCGAACGGAAAGGCCCUGCUUUUGUGGGGUGCUCGAGUGGCGAACGGGUGAGUAACACGUGAGUAACCUGCCCUUGACUUUGGGAUAACUUCAGGAAACUGGGGCUAAUACCGGAUAGGAGCUCCUGCUGCAUGGUGGGGGUUGGAAAGUUUCGGCGGUUGGGGAUGGACUCGCGGCUUAUCAGCUUGUUGGUGGGGUAGUGGCUUACCAAGGCUUUGACGGGUAGCCGGCCUGAGAGGGUGACCGGCCACAUUGGGACUGAGAUACGGCCCAGACUCCUACGGGAGGCAGCAGUGGGGAAUAUAGCACAAUGGGCGGAAGCCUGAUGCAGCAACGCCGCGUGCGGGAUGAAGGCCUUCGGGUUGUAAACCGCUUUCGCCUGUGACGAAGCGUGAGUGACGGUAAUGGGUAAAGAAGCACCGGCUAACUACGUG
RNAcentral lists this ribosomal RNA (468 nucleotides) under uncultured bacterium. RNAcentral describes it as "partial 16S ribosomal RNA". It matches the Rfam family "Bacterial small subunit ribosomal RNA", at positions 28 to 507 of the family's 1533-position model. The record is from RNAcentral.